GGUGUUCUUCCCGAUAUCUACACAUUCCACCGUUACACCGGGAAUUCCAGUCUCCCCUACCGCACUCAAGCCCGCCCGUACCCGGCGCGGAUCCACCGUUAAGCGAUGGACUUUCACACCGGACGCGACGAACCGCCUACGAGCCCUUUACGCCCAAUAAUUCCGGAUAACGCUUGCACCCUACGUAUUACCGCGGCUGCUGGCACGUAGUUAGCCGGUGCUUAUUCGAAAGGUACACUCACCCCGAAGGGCUUGCUCCCAGUCAAAAGCGGUUUACAACCCGAAGGCCGUCAUCCCGCACGCGGCGUCGCUGCAUCAGGCUUGCGCCCAUUGUGCAAUAUUCCCCACUGCUGCCUCCCGUAGGAGUCUGGGCCGUAUCUCAGUCCCAAUGCGGCCGGUCGCCCUCUCAGGCCGGCUACCCGUCGAAGCCAUGGUGGGCCGUUACCCCGCCAUCAAGCUGAUAGGACGCGACCCCAUCCCAUACCGCAAAAGCUUUCCCAGAGGACCAUGCGGUCAACUGGAGCAUCCGGCAUUACACCCGUUUC
RNAcentral lists this ribosomal RNA (545 nucleotides) under uncultured Bifidobacterium sp. RNAcentral describes it as "partial 16S rRNA". The record is from RNAcentral. Lineage: Bacteria; Bacillati; Actinomycetota; Actinomycetes; Bifidobacteriales; Bifidobacteriaceae.